RNAcentral lists this unclassified non-coding RNA (330 nucleotides) under Hevea brasiliensis (rubber tree). Lineage: Eukaryota; Viridiplantae; Streptophyta; Magnoliopsida; Malpighiales; Euphorbiaceae. The record is from RNAcentral.
CUCGAGCAAUGACAACAUAACCAGGCUCUGGAACAGCACCCUGAGCCUUGUGUCCAAUUACUUCCACAAUUGCUCUCUGGUCGGGAUNGUCGGGAGAGUCGGGGGGAGGCGACAGAGGGCGGCGGACACCCGCGAGGGAGGAGUAGACGUAGAGGAUUUCAGUGUUACGAUAGGGUGCCACGUACGCACCUUUCCCUGGUUUCACUUCAGCUGCUUUCCCUAACACCACUCCUGGUGUCACCAUCUCCGGUUCUUCUUGCAUUAUCCCUAGCUCUGUCUGCUGCUCUUCUUCCUCGUAUGUGCUAAGCGAAUGAAUCGCCUCAAAUUCGC